RNAcentral lists this ribosomal RNA (227 nucleotides) under uncultured bacterium. RNAcentral's name for it is "partial 16S ribosomal RNA". It matches the Rfam family "Bacterial small subunit ribosomal RNA", at positions 57 to 305 of the family's 1533-position model. The record is from RNAcentral.
GCAAGUCGAACGAGAAACCCCUUCGGGGGCGGACAGUGGCGAACGGGUGAGUAAUACUUGGGAAUCUACCCUGAAGUGGGGGAUAACAGUUAGAAAUGACUGCUAAUACCGCAUAAUCCAUAUUGGGAAAGCUUUAGUGCUUUAGGAUGAGCCCAAGCCUGAUUAGCUUGUUGGUGCGGUAACGGCGCACCAAGGCGACGAUCAGUAGCUGGUUUGAGAGGAUGAUC